GAUUGUCACUGUCAGUUGUCACUAUCGCCAGUGUCAGUGUCGUAAUUCUGUCACUGGGAGAGUGAUGAUUGCCGGUGACGAU
Bombyx mori (domestic silkworm) is the source of this 82-nucleotide non-coding RNA. The record is from RefSeq and is marked provisional. Lineage: Eukaryota; Metazoa; Arthropoda; Insecta; Lepidoptera; Bombycidae.